UGCAGUCGAACGGUAACAGGAAGCAGCUUGCUGCUUCGCUGACGAGUGGCGGACGGGUGAGUAAUGUCUGGGAAACUGCCUGAUGGAGGGGGAUAACUACUGGAAACGGUAGCUAAUACCGCAUAACGUCGCAAGACCAAAGAGGGGGACCUUCGGGCCUCUUGCCAUCAGAUGUGCCCAGAUGGGAUUAGCUAGUAGGUGGGGUAACGGCUCACCUAGGCGACGAUCCCUAGCUGGUCUGAGAGGAUGACCAGCCACACUGGAACUGAGACACGGUCCAGACUCCUACGGGAGGCAGCAGUGGGGAAUAUUGCACAAUGGGCGCAAGCCUGAUGCAGCCAUGCCGCGUGUAUGAAGAAGGCCUUCGGGUUGUAAAGUACUUUCAGCGGGGAGGAAGGCGAUGCGGUUAAUAACCGCGUCGAUUGACGUUACCCGCAGAAGAAGCACCGGCUAACUCCGUGCCAGCAGCCGCGGUAAUACGGAGGGUGCAAGCGUUAAUCGGAAUUACUGGGCGUAAAGCGCACGCAGGCGGUCUGUCAAGUCGGAUGUGAAAUCCCCGGGCUCAACCUGGGAACUGCAUCCGAAACUGGCAGGCUUGAGUCUCGUAGAGGGGGGUAGAAUUCCAGGUGUAGCGGUGAAAUGCGUAGAGAUCUGGAGGAAUACCGGUGGCGAANGCGGCCCCCUGGACGAAGACUGACGCUCANGUGCGAAAGCGUGGGGAGCNNACAGGAUUAGAUACCCUGGUAGUCCACGCCGUAAACGAUGUCGACUUGGANGUUGUGCCCUUGANGCGUGGCUUCCGGAGCUAACGCGUUAAGUCGACCGCCUGGGGAGUANGGCCGCANGGUUAAAACUCAAAUGAAUUGANNGGGGCCCGCACAAGCGGUGGANCAUGUGGUUUAAUUCGAUGCAACGCGAANAACCUUACCUGGUCUUGACNUCCACAGAACUUGGNANANAUGCCUUGGNGCCUUNGGNACUGNGANANAGNNGCUGCAUGNUGUCGUCAGCUC
This 1013-nucleotide ribosomal RNA is filed under the name Kosakonia sp. Its description in RNAcentral is "partial 16S ribosomal RNA". It matches the Rfam family "Bacterial small subunit ribosomal RNA", at positions 56 to 1061 of the family's 1533-position model. The record is from RNAcentral. Lineage: Bacteria; Pseudomonadati; Pseudomonadota; Gammaproteobacteria; Enterobacterales; Enterobacteriaceae.